CCUACGGGUGGCAGCAGUGGGGAAUAUUGGACAAUGGGCGAAAGCCUGAUCCAGCCAUGCCGCGUGUGUGAAGAAGGCCUUCGGGUUGUAAAGCACUUUCAGUGGGGAAGAAAGCCUUGGGGCUAAUACCCUCGAGGAAGGACAUCACCCACAGAAGAAGCACCGGCUAACUCCGUGCCAGCAGCCGCGGUAAUACGGAGGGUGCGAGCGUUAAUCGGAAUUACUGGGCGUAAAGCGCGCGUAGGCGGUCUGAUAAGCCGGUUGUGAAAGCCCCGGGCUCAACCUGGGAACGGCAUCCGGAACUGUCAGGCUAGAGUGCAGGAGAGGAAGGUAGAAUUCCCGGUGUAGCGGUGAAAUGCGUAGAGAUCGGGAGGAAUACCAGUGGCGAAGGCGGCCUUCUGGACUGACACUGACGCUGAGGUGCGAAAGCGUGGGUAGCAAACAGGAUUAGAUACCCGAGUAGCC
RNAcentral lists this ribosomal RNA (465 nucleotides) under Vreelandella stevensii. RNAcentral's name for it is "partial 16S ribosomal RNA". It matches the Rfam family "Bacterial small subunit ribosomal RNA", at positions 338 to 795 of the family's 1533-position model. Lineage: Bacteria; Pseudomonadati; Pseudomonadota; Gammaproteobacteria; Oceanospirillales; Halomonadaceae. The record is from RNAcentral.